AGGGGAAUGAAUUAAGUCUAUCUGUCAAAGAGGAUCAGCCAGAUGGAUGCACCUACUCACUCACAAGAACCAGCUAGGCACACAGAAAGGGGGCUUCCUAGUACCUGUGCUCCCCACUCCAGGCAUCCUCGUUUAGCCCUUACUCUAGUCUAAACUCAACUCAACAAAAAAAAUCCAAGCUGUCAAGUGAAUGUUGCUGACCAAGAGGUACCGUCACCAUCAAGACAGGGCUCGGUUUCCUAGGCAGAGUAAAGAGGUUUGGAGGCGAUACUGCUGUGACAGUUCCGGAGUCAAAAUCCCCAUCUCUUUGACACUUAUCACAUGCAUAAUAGCAAUAUCUUUCCCAGCAGGCAGCCAGGUUCUGUGGCUGCAAUCAAGCUGUCUGUGGUUAGACAGCUAAUGAAACAGUGUGCCAUUCUCCAGUGCUAUUGAGGAGAAAAAACAGUAUUUACUUACUGUGAUAGCAGGGCUGCAGUAAAUAUCUUUUAACAGGAAUUAUAGUGUUAAAUAGCCAAUUAAAAGGCAAGUGUUUCCAUAUUGGGAAAAGUGGCUGUAUUCUAGGUAAUCUCUAAUGAGACUAAGCAAUCAUAUUAAGCUUAUUAAACAUUGUAGCCAAAGGCAGUAUAUUUACUAAGGGGGCGUUCGUAUCUCCUAGAGAAAUUUUGAAGAGCCUAUCAUCU
Long non-coding RNA from Hemicordylus capensis (graceful crag lizard), 680 nucleotides. RefSeq lists it as uncharacterized. The record is from RefSeq and is a predicted model, not a curated record. The transcript has 3 exons. Lineage: Eukaryota; Metazoa; Chordata; Lepidosauria; Squamata; Cordylidae.